GGAGAUAUAGCUCAGUGAUAGAGUGCAUGCUUAGCACACACAAGGUCCUGGAUUCAAUCCUUAGUACCUCCA
Molecule: transfer RNA, 72 nt
Organism: Camelus ferus (Wild Bactrian camel)
Lineage: Eukaryota; Metazoa; Chordata; Mammalia; Artiodactyla; Camelidae
Rfam family: tRNA
About the family: Transfer RNA (tRNA) molecules are approximately 80 nucleotides in length. Their secondary structure includes four short double-helical elements and three loops (D, anti-codon, and T loops). Further hydrogen bonds mediate the characteristic L-shaped molecular structure. tRNAs have two regions of fundamental functional importance: the anti-codon, which is responsible for specific mRNA codon recognition, and the 3' end, to which the tRNAs corresponding amino acid is attached (by aminoacyl-tRNA synthetases). tRNAs cope with the degeneracy of the genetic code in two manners: having more than one tRNA (with a specific anti-codon) for a particular amino acid; and 'wobble' base-pairing, i.e. permitting non-standard base-pairing at the 3rd anti-codon position.
Source: Rfam